RNAcentral lists this ribosomal RNA (558 nucleotides) under uncultured marine eukaryote. Its description in RNAcentral is "SSU rRNA". It matches the Rfam family "Eukaryotic small subunit ribosomal RNA", at positions 614 to 1173 of the family's 1831-position model. The record is from RNAcentral.
UGUGGUUAAAAAGCUCGUAGUUGGAUCUCAACAGCCUUGAAGCGGUUAACUUUGUAGUUUUACUGCUUUAUAGGCUGUGCUUUUGCUGGAGGUUUAGGGGUGCUCUUGAUCGAGUGUCUCUGGAUGCCAGCAGGUUUACUUUGAAAAAAUUAGAGUGCUCAAAGCAGGCUAAAAUGCCUGAAUAUUCGUGCAUGGAAUAAUAGAAUAGGAUGUCGAUCCUAUUUUGUUGGUUUUCGGGACUCGACAUAAUGAUAAAUAGGGACAGUCGGGGGCAUUUGUAUUCAAACGACAGAGGUGAAAUUCUUGGACCGUUUGAAGACAAACUACUGCGAAAGCAUUUGCCAAGAAUGUUUUCAUUAAUCAAGAACGAAAGUUAGAGGUUCGAAGGCGAUUAGAUACCGCCCUAGUUCUAACCAUAAACGAUGCCGGCUAGCGAUCUGCCUGCGUUUUUACUGUAGACUGGGCAGGAAGCUUCCGGGAAACCAAAGCAUUUGGGUUCCAGGGGAAGUAUGGUUGCAAAGCUGAAACUUAAAGGAGUUGACGGAAGGGCACCACCAG